UCCAAGCUAGGAAAGUCGGUUUCAACUUUCAAGCCAAUGCUAGGGUUUCGGCUCUUCUUCCUUCAUCUACAUCAAAGAAGUUUUUCUGCGUUCUCAAACUAAAAUGAUGGUAUCGAUUGAUUGGCUCACAUCAACAUGAUGUAUCUCUUUCUUGAUCUUCGUUCGCGUCGUUCGGGCAACUCUCCUAGAUUUUGAGAAUGUCGUCGUUCGAGGUUUCUGUUCCCUCCGUGAUUUGCUCCUCCGCAGAUUGGGACAACAAGAAGACGAAGAAGAGGAACAAAAAGAAGAAGAAAGGAAGCUACGAGGAGGGUUCGGUUAGGUUCUUGAGCGAGUCUAGAGACGUUGAUGGCAGCGGCGGCUGCGUCGCUGUUCCUGAUGUUUGGUGCGGUCCAGGACUAGGGUGACAAGAACAGUUCGAACCAAACAGAGCGAAUAGCUUCGGUUUAGGCAGAAACUGUUUGGUGUGGUUUGAGCUAUAGUCGUUGUAGCAUCCCUAUGUUGUCGCUGGGGACCAACAAAAGUCAUGUCGAUCUGUGGCUUGAAUUGAUCGAUUUGGUGACACUGAUUAUCACCAGGAGACAAGCUUCUUCUCAGAGUUAGGGGAGCUCCGCUUGCUCUGAUUCAUGUCUCCUCCUCUGAUCCUUUGCCUCACCUUAGUAUCAAAAACAUACCAAUCGAGACAUCAUCUGCGCAGUUUAUACGUCAAUGGUACACUGCUGCUUCCAGUGGACAGAAGCUUCAAAACUCUAUAACAAACGCUUAUGGGGAAGCUCAUGAUGAUCACUUCUGAGCUUCAGACUGCGACAAGAAGUGUAGGGAACCGGACGAACCCGUCCAAGGCUGAGAGUGGAGGUUUCGUUCUCUGGCAGAUAGAUCUAUACAUAUAUAUUAACAGUUUUGUAAUGUUCUCAUCUUCUGUUUGGAUCAUUUGAUUUGAUGUUUCUGCUUAUGCGUGUUGAGAGUCUUUUUUGGUUUCUUUAGAUUAUGCUUGAUAUCGUGUUAUCUGAGUUUCAAGUUAUUAAUAAU
Long non-coding RNA from Brassica oleracea var. oleracea, 1026 nucleotides. RefSeq lists it as uncharacterized. The transcript has 4 exons. The record is from RefSeq and is a predicted model, not a curated record. NCBI's taxonomy places the organism in Eukaryota, Viridiplantae, Streptophyta, Magnoliopsida, Brassicales, Brassicaceae.